Molecule: ribosomal RNA, 271 nt
Filed under: uncultured bacterium
Lineage: Bacteria
Description: partial 16S ribosomal RNA
Rfam family: Bacterial small subunit ribosomal RNA
Source: RNAcentral
CCGGCGACCGGCGCACGGGUGAGUAACACGUAUGCAACCUGCCCUCCGCAGGGGGAUAACCCGGAGAAAUCCGGACUAAUACCGCGUGGUACACCAGUGGGGCAUCCCACGGGUGUUAAAAGGAAGCGAUUCCGACGGAGGAUGGGCAUGCGGCGCAUUAGCUAGUUGGCGGGGUAACGGCCCACCAAGGCGACGAUGCGUAGGGGUUCUGAGAGGAAGGUCCCCCACACUGGUACUGAGACACGGACCAGACUCCUACGGGAGGCAGCAG